RNAcentral lists this small RNA (29 nucleotides) under Bombyx mori (domestic silkworm). RNAcentral's name for it is "ovarian small RNA-13897". Lineage: Eukaryota; Metazoa; Arthropoda; Insecta; Lepidoptera; Bombycidae. The record is from RNAcentral.
CCGGACUUGUCGCUUCCGACCGUCGUGGC